Molecule: unclassified non-coding RNA, 249 nt
Filed under: uncultured Didymellaceae
Lineage: Eukaryota; Fungi; Ascomycota; Dothideomycetes; Pleosporales; Didymellaceae
Description: sequence contains ITS2
Source: RNAcentral
AACGCACAUUGCGCCCCUUGGUAUUCCAUGGGGCAUGCCUGUUCGAGCGUCAUUUGUACCUUCAAGCUAUGCUUGGUGUUGGGUGUUUGUCUCGCCUUUGCGUGUAGACUCGCCUCAAAACAAUUGGCAGCCGGCGUAUUGAUUUCGGAGCGCAGUACAUCUCGCGCUUUGCACUCAUAACGACGACGUCCAAAAGUACAUUUUUACACUCUUGACCUCGGAUCAGGUAGGGAUACCCGCUGAACUUAA